This 253-nucleotide ribosomal RNA is filed under the name uncultured bacterium. Its description in RNAcentral is "partial 16S ribosomal RNA". It matches the Rfam family "Bacterial small subunit ribosomal RNA", at positions 524 to 776 of the family's 1533-position model. The record is from RNAcentral.
UACGUAGGUGGCAAGCGUUGUCCGGAUUUACUGGGCGUAAAGAGCGCGCAGGCGGUCGUUCAAGUCGCGUGUGAAAGCCCCCGGCUCAACUGGGGAGGGUCACGCGAUACUGAUCGACUCGAAGGCAGGAGAGGGUAGUGGAAUUCUCGGUGUAGAGGUGAAAUUCGUAGAUAUCGAGAGGAACACCGGUGGCGAAGGCGGCGAUCUGGACGAUGACUGACGCUGAGACGCGAAAGCGUGGGGAGCAAACAGG